AUGAGGCGGUCAUCUUCUUCUCUGUCCUCGCUCACACGCGCCAUGGCAAUCACCCUGGUGUUCGCCUGCUGCUGCUCCCUGCUGCCAUGCCCAUGCUCUGCUGUUUGCAAAGGGCGUGCAUUUGGCGACUUUGGUCAGGGGGCUGAGGCCGGGCCAAGGGGAGGAAACCAAUUAGAUCAGGGGGGUGGCGGACAAGCGCCAGGAGGCUAUUCAUUUAGUGAUCUUCGUGACGGGUCUUGGCACAUGCCGAGGGAACAAGGAGGAAACCAAUUUGCUCAAGGGCUUGGGGAGGCAAGGCCGGGGGGAGGAGGAAAGCAUGGUAAGUGGUCCGACGACGGGUCGUCAGGGGUUACACAAGGAAGCCAUGUAGGACGGAUGCCUCCUCCGCCGCGGGGCAAGGCACCGUGGUACCACAGGUGA
RNAcentral lists this ribosomal RNA (420 nucleotides) under Triticum aestivum (bread wheat). RNAcentral describes it as "partial small subunit ribosomal RNA". The record is from RNAcentral. Lineage: Eukaryota; Viridiplantae; Streptophyta; Magnoliopsida; Poales; Poaceae.